This 467-nucleotide ribosomal RNA is filed under the name uncultured bacterium. RNAcentral describes it as "partial 16S ribosomal RNA". It matches the Rfam family "Bacterial small subunit ribosomal RNA", at positions 29 to 507 of the family's 1533-position model. The record is from RNAcentral.
AUGCACGCUGGCGGCGUGCUUAACACAUGCAGGUCGCACGGAAAGGCCCAAGCUUGCUUGGGUACUCGAGUGGCGAACGGGUGAGUAACACGUGGGUGAUCUGCCCUGCACUUCGGGAUAAGCCUGGGAAACUGGGUCUAAUACCGGAUAGGACCACUUCUUGGAUGUUGUGGUGGAAAGUUUUCUCGGUGUGGGAUGAGCUCGCGGCCUAUCAGCUUGUUGGUGGGGUAAUGGCCUACCAAGGCGUCGACGGGUAGCCGGCCUGAGAGGGUGUACGGCCACAUUGGGACUGAGAUACGGCCCAGACUCCUACGGGAGGCAGCAGUGGGGAAUAUUGCACAAUGGGCGCAAGCCUGAUGCAGCGACGCCGCGUGGGGGAUGACGGCCUUCGGGUUGUAAACUCCUUUCGCUAGGGACGAAGCGUUUUUGUGACGGUACCUGUAGAAGAAGCACCGGCUAACUACGUG